Molecule: long non-coding RNA, 453 nt
Organism: Fundulus heteroclitus (mummichog)
Lineage: Eukaryota; Metazoa; Chordata; Actinopteri; Cyprinodontiformes; Fundulidae
Exons: 4
Source: RefSeq, a predicted model, not a curated record
UCCAAUUUUUUGCCGUUCCAUAACUUCCACUGGGAAAAGGACCGAAGGAGACAAUCAUUAACUCCACCAAUCUCCUGACCAUCCUUAGCCUCAGUGGAUAUCCUCACUUCCUCUGCACCAAGGAGCAGGUUUCCUGAAGAAGACACCAUAUUGUCCUGCUUACACAAGUCCCAUUACUAGUCCCAUUACCUCUCCUCCAGGAUACUGAUAAGAAUCAUUCCCUCCACCAAUCUCCUGCCAACUUCGUUCUCUAAAGAUAUCCUCCCCUCUUAACCAGACUGGGUUUCCCAAAGAAGACUUCAGAUUGUCCAACUCACAAGUGGUAUUGGACUCUAUAGUACUGUUGUCCAUUCUCUGCGUCAGUUCUGAGAAAUCUCCUUAAGAACCUCCACACCACUUCUAUGACUGCCCUCCUGCCUGGACAUCUUCCAAAGUUGGUUUCACCAACCAAAA